Long non-coding RNA from Salvelinus sp. IW2-2015, 778 nucleotides. RefSeq lists it as uncharacterized. NCBI's taxonomy places the organism in Eukaryota, Metazoa, Chordata, Actinopteri, Salmoniformes, Salmonidae. The record is from RefSeq and is a predicted model, not a curated record.
UGGUAUUCUGUGUCCACUCGUGGUAUCUCUCUUCYGUUACACAUCCUUGGAAUAGCAGAACAGCAUAACGGUCCGGACGGCCCUUGCUGUGCUUGGUGAGCAGUUGAUCAAGUUCUGUUGUCAGAAGAGGAAUGGAAAUGUCAUGAUGAACCAACGACCUGACGAACCCGCCAGGUAUUUUGACUUUGCUUGUCGGAUGUGGAGUUCCAGAGCUAACAGGUGUGCCUGGCAUGGAUUGUGACUCCAUCUCGUUCCUCACCCUCUUCAACGCGUCAUUCUCUGUCUGACUCUCCGCCAAUGAUGAGUGACUCUCCGGCUCUGGACCAAAGCAUCAGCUGUCACCCGUAUCUCMGCCUUCAGGCCCAGGCAUAGACCAAAGCUGGCGAGACAUUCAAUGACGUCAUCUUCACAGACGAAUCAACCCUGGCCCUUGAGCAAUUUGAUCAAAAUUGCUACUGAAAAAAAGGAAGAAGAUCAAGCAAGCCGAGUCCCAAGCAUCCACUCAAACUCCAUGUGUGGGGGGCAAUUUCUCGUCAGGUAUCAUGGCUCGAGAUUUCUUUGAGGAAGAAACCAUCAAAAGAUAUGCUGGACCCUAUGUCAGAGGUGUUUCUGGGACCACAUCACUUCUUUCAAGACAAUGACCCAAACACACUGCCGCCCGGGUUUGCAUUGCACAUGAGGACAUAAACAGGGUCAAGACACCAGCAGAYUAAGUAGACCUUUAUGUAGUAAAAUAACAGUUAAAUAAAAAAUAAAUGAAAGACCUACAACACCUACG